UUAUUGGAGAGUUUGAUCCUGGCUCAGGACGAACGCUGGCGGCGUGCUUAACACAUGCAAGUCGAGCGGUAAGGCCCUUCGGGGUACACGAGCGGCGAACGGGUGAGUAACACGUGGGUAACCUGCCCUGUACUCUGGGAUAAGCCUUGGAAACGAGGUCUAAUACCGGAUAUGACACUGAACUGCAUGGUUUGGUGUGGAA
Lentzea albidocapillata is the source of this 202-nucleotide ribosomal RNA. It matches the Rfam family "Bacterial small subunit ribosomal RNA", at positions 1 to 205 of the family's 1533-position model. The record is from Rfam. NCBI's taxonomy places the organism in Bacteria, Bacillati, Actinomycetota, Actinomycetes, Pseudonocardiales, Pseudonocardiaceae.